This 497-nucleotide ribosomal RNA is filed under the name uncultured bacterium. RNAcentral's name for it is "partial 16S ribosomal RNA". It matches the Rfam family "Bacterial small subunit ribosomal RNA", at positions 28 to 507 of the family's 1533-position model. The record is from RNAcentral.
GACGAACGCUGGCGGCGUGCCUAAUACAUGCAAGUUGAGCGCUGAAGGUUGGUACUUGUACCAACUGGAUGAGCAGCGCACGGGUGAGUAACGCGUGGGGAAUCUGCCUUUGAGCGGGGGACAACAUUUGGAAACGAAUGCUAAUACCGCAUAAAAACUUUAAACACAAGUUUUAAGUUUGAAAGAUGCAAUUGCAUCACUCAAAGAUGAUCCCGCGUUGUAUUAGCUAGUUGGUGAGGUAAAGGCUCACCAAGGCGAUGAUACAUAGCCGACCUGAGAGGGUGAUCGGCCAGAUUGGGACUGAGACACGGCCCAAACGCCUACGGGAGGCAGCAGUAGGGAAUCUUCGGCAAUGGACGAAAGUCUGACCGAGCAACGCCGCGUGAGUGAAGAAGGUUUUCGGAUCGUAAAACUCUGUUGGUAGAGAAGAACGUUGGUGAGAGUGGAAAGCUCAUCAAGUGACGGUAACUACCCAGAAAGGGACGGCUAACUACGUG